RNAcentral lists this unclassified non-coding RNA (244 nucleotides) under rhizosphere metagenome. Its description in RNAcentral is "partial ribosomal RNA internal transcribed spacer region". The record is from RNAcentral.
GUAGGUGAACCUGCGGAAGGAUCAUUAUCGAAUGAAAUCAGAGUCGGUUGUCGCUGGCCUCUUCACUGAGGCAUGUGCACGCCUUCUCUAUUCAUCCACACACACCUGUGCACUUGUGAGACGGAUUGACCCUCUCGGGGGACGGUCCGUCUAUUUAUACAUAAACUCCAUUAUAAUAAAUUUGAAUGUAAUUUGAUGUAACGCAUCUUUAAACUAAGUUUCAACAACGGAUCUCUUGGCUCUC